This is a small nuclear RNA of Callithrix jacchus (white-tufted-ear marmoset), 140 nucleotides long. Its record names the gene U4. It matches the Rfam family "U4 spliceosomal RNA". From Rfam's summary of the family: U4 small nuclear RNA (U4 snRNA) is a component of the major U2-dependent spliceosome. Lineage: Eukaryota; Metazoa; Chordata; Mammalia; Primates; Cebidae. The record is from Ensembl.
AGCUUUGCGCAGUGGCAGUAUCGUAGCCAAUGAGGUUUAUCUGAGGCGCAAUUAUUUCUGAUUGAAAACUUUUCCCAAUACCUGCCAUCACGACUUGAAAUAUAGUUGGCAUUGGCAAUUUUUGACAGUCUCUACGGAGA